UGGGAGAAAAUGGAUUUUCUAAGUUUCCUUCUUGUUCUCCUCACAGCAGUGGCUGUGAGUAGAGCCCAGGUACAGCAGGAGCCGUCGGCAGAGACCAGCGAGGGCACCGGCAUCAACAUCACCUGCUCACACCCCAACAUCCAGUCCAACGACAACAUCCACUGGUAUCGUCAGCUCCCAGGUCGAGGACCCGCAUUCAUCGCGAGUGCCUUUAAAGGCUCCAAGGAGGUUCCGGACCCGGAGGGGUGGCUGUGCGUGUCGGCAGACCGCCGCUCCAGCGCCCUGUGGCUCGCCCGGCCCCGGCUCGGCGACGCGGCGGUGUAUUACUGCGCCGUAAACCCACGGGAAGCGAAGCCGGGGCUGCGGCCGGGCACGAACCGCUUAGG
Molecule: non-coding RNA, 386 nt
Organism: Meleagris gallopavo (turkey)
Lineage: Eukaryota; Metazoa; Chordata; Aves; Galliformes; Phasianidae
Source: the annotation of a RefSeq genome assembly